Molecule: ribosomal RNA, 467 nt
Filed under: uncultured bacterium
Lineage: Bacteria
Description: partial 16S ribosomal RNA
Rfam family: Bacterial small subunit ribosomal RNA
Source: RNAcentral
GACGAACGCUGGCGGCGUGCUUAACACAUGCAAGUCGAACGGAAAGGCCCUGCUUUUGUGGGGUGCUCGAGUGGCGAACGGGUGAGUAACACGUGAGUAACCUGCCCUUGACUUUGGGAUAACUUCAGGAAACUGAGGCUAAUACCGGAUAGGAGCUCCUGCUGCAUGGUGGGGGUUGGAAAGUUUCGGCGGUUGGGGAUGGACUCGCGGCUUAUCAGCUUGUUGGUGGGGUAGUGGCUUACCAAGGCUUUGACGGGUAGCCGGCCUGAGAGGGUGACCGGCCACAUUGGGACAGAGAUACGGCCCAGACUGCUACGGGAGGCAGCGGUGGGGAAUAUUGCACAAUGGGCGGAAGCCUGAUGCAGCAACGCCGCGUGCGGGAUAACGGCCUUCGGGUUGUAAAACGCUUUCGCCUGUGACGAAGCGUGAGUGACGGUAAUGGGUAAAGAAGCACCGGCUAACUACGU